RNAcentral lists this ribosomal RNA (301 nucleotides) under uncultured bacterium. Its description in RNAcentral is "partial 16S ribosomal RNA". It matches the Rfam family "Bacterial small subunit ribosomal RNA", at positions 509 to 809 of the family's 1533-position model. The record is from RNAcentral.
CAGUCGCCGCGGUAAUACCGAGGGUGCAAGCGUUAAUCGGAAUUACUGGGCGUAAAGCGUGCGUAGGCGGCUUUUUAAGUCGGAUGUGAAAUCCCUGAGCUUAACUUAGGAAUUGCAUUCGAUACUGGGAAGCUAGAGUAUGGGAGAGGAUGGUAGAAUUCCAGGUGUAGCGGUGAAAUGCGUAGAGAUCUGGAGGAAUACCGAUGGCGAAGGCAGCCAUCUGGCCUAAUACUGACGCUGAGGUACGAAAGCAUGGGGAGCAAACAGGAUUAGAUACCCCAGUAGUCCCUGUCUCUUAUAU